AGCUCUGAAGUCUGUCAGCCUCUUCAGAUGUCACUUGCCCUGUGGUAAGGAAGUGUAGUUGGCAGCUGGUGCAGUGGCAAGAAGAGAAAGGAAGUUCCCCAAGACAGAAACAUCUCGGCAGGUUUGGAAUAGUUCACCAGUGAAGUCAUCUCAACCAGCACAGGGCCUUGACUCCUAACAACAAUCACACGAACUUGGAAGAGGAUCCUUCCCCAGCUGAAACUUCACUUGAGACCUUCUCAUUGGCCAUCAUCGACAUCUGGAUUCAUGAUACAGAGAAACUGCUUUGAAUAACUCACCAGUGAAGUCAUCUUGACCUGGACAGAAAUUGAAUCCUCCCAAGAAUCCCAGGAGCUUGGAAGGGGAUCCUUCCCCAGAUGAGCCUUCCCUUGAAAUCUCUGCCAGGCAUCUGACCCAGAGAAACUACUCCAUCAGGAAUCGUUUGGGACCGUGGGUUCUGUUGACACUCACAUUGUGUAAUUAUGUUGCCCACUGCCAACCCUAAAGCCACCAAGGUAGCAGGUUUCAAAUAAUUCAUCAGUGAAUUCUCCUCAACCUGGUCAAUCAUGUGAACUUAGAAGAUGAUUCCUCCCCAGCUGAUCCUCAGGUGAGACCUCAGCCUUGGCCAUCAUCUAUAUCUGGAUUCCUGACCCAGAGAAACUGAAUACACUUUACUGAAUCAUGAAAAGCUGUAAAUAGCUGAAAAGAAAAAUGUGGUCUUGACUCUGAAAAACAACAAAAAGGAUCAGCAACAUUUCAAGCAACAAGUCAUAAAACGAUUACUGUGGUCUUGUAUUAGUUCAGUCCAUGCAGUGAACUUUGUCUGACAUUGGGCCUGCAGUCCUCAUAAACAUACCAGCUA
RNAcentral lists this long non-coding RNA (862 nucleotides) under Homo sapiens (human). RNAcentral's name for it is "Prader-Willi region non-protein coding RNA 1". Lineage: Eukaryota; Metazoa; Chordata; Mammalia; Primates; Hominidae. The record is from RNAcentral.